GAGAAUUUGAUCGUGGUUCAGGAUGAACGUUGGCGGCGUGCCUAAGGUAUGCAAGUCGAGCGCCCCGCUAAUUUAUAGUAUGAGAGAAAUCGUAUUAUAGAUUAGUGGGGAGCGGCGAACGGGUGAGUAAUGCAUGGGUAAUCUUCCUUGAAGUCAGGAAUAGCUCUCUGAAAAGAGAAGUAAUACCUGAUGGUCCAUAUUUGUCUAUGACUUUUAUGGUAAAGUUCAGACGCUUCAAGAUGAGCCCCUGUCCUAUCAGCUUGUUGGUGAGGUAAUGGCCCACCAAGGCGAAGACGGGUAGCUGGUGUGAGAGCAUGUACAGCCACAGUGGGACUGCGACACGGCCCACACUCCUACGGGAGGCAGCAAUUAGGAAUCUUGCGCAAUGGGGGCAACCCUGACGCAGCGACGCCGCGUGGAGGACGAAGGUCUUCGGAUUGUAAACUCCUUUUAUACGGGAAGAAACACUGACGGUACCGUAUGAAUAAGUACCUGCUAACUACGUGCCAGAAGCAUCGGUGAUGCGUAGGGUACAAACGUUAUCCGGAUUCAUUGGGCGUAAAGAGAUGCGUAGGCGUCUUAGUAAGUCAAAUGUCAAAUCCCGUCGCUUAACGUCGGACAGGCAUUUGAUACUGCUUAGAUUGAGACAGAAAGGGGUGAGCGGAAUUCCCGGUGUAGCGGUAAAAUGCGUUGAUAUCGGGAGGAACACCAGAGGCGAAGGCGGCUCACUGGUUCUGUUCUGACGCUGAGGCUCGAAAGCGUGGGGAUCAAAACGGAUUAGAUACCCGUGUAGUCCACGCUGUAAACGAUGGAUGCUGGGUGUUUGAUACGACUGAAAUAAUCUUUCGAGAUAAUUUUGGAAGUAUUGAGUGCCGAAGUUAACGCGUUAAGCAUCCCGCCUGGGAAGUACGGCCGCAAGGCUAAAACUCAAACGAAUUGGCGGGGAGGCGCACAAGCAGAGGAGCGCGUGGUUUAAUUCGAUGGUAAUCGAAGAACCUUACCAGGGUUUGAAAUGUAUGUGGUAGUGAUCCGAAAGGUGAUCAACCCCGCUUUUUGAAGUUCAGUCAGUCCGCUCUGCAUAUGGACUCAGAAAAAUGAACUUUAAAAAGCGGGGAGCAUACACAGGUGUUGCAUGGCCGUCGUCAGCUCGUGUCGUGAGAUGUAGGGUUAAGUCCCGAAACGAGCGCAACCCCUAUCCUAUGUUACAAGUGUCUUAGGAAACUGCUACGGUAAAACGUGGAGGAAGGAGGGGAUGACGUCUGGUCCGCAUGACCCUUAUGUCCUGGGCGACACACGCGCUACAAUGGUCGGUACAAUGGGCAGCCAAGCCGUAAGGUGGAGCUAAUCUCAUAAAGCCGAUCUCAGUUCAGAUUGAGGUCUGCAAUUCGACCUCAUGAAGUUGGAUUUGCUAGUAAUCGUGGAUCAGCCAUGCCGCGGUGAAUACGUUCUCGCCUCUUGCACACACCGCCCGUCAAGUCAUGGAAGCAGGUAGUACCCGAAGGCAUCUCGACCACUUUGUUGCUGAAAGUUUCGGCGAUAAUGUGGUUGGGGUGACGAAGGUAAGAUCUGUGACUGGGACUAAGUCGUAACAAGGUAGCCGUAGGGGAAUCUGCGGCUGAAUUACCUCCUUUCU
RNAcentral lists this ribosomal RNA (1633 nucleotides) under Candidatus Dojkabacteria bacterium. RNAcentral's name for it is "bacterial SSU rRNA". It matches the Rfam family "Bacterial small subunit ribosomal RNA". The record is from RNAcentral.